UAACAAAAGUCUUUCUCUGGUGAGAU
This 26-nucleotide non-coding RNA is filed under the name Mus musculus (house mouse). Lineage: Eukaryota; Metazoa; Chordata; Mammalia; Rodentia; Muridae. The record is from RNAcentral.